AUUGAACGCUGGCGGCAUGCUUUACACAUGCAAGUCGAACGGCAGCGGGGGCUUCGGCCUGCCGGCGAGUGGCGAACGGGUGAGUAAUGCAUCGGAACGUGCCCAUGUCGUGGGGGAUAACGUAGCGAAAGCUACGCUAAUACCGCAUACGUCCUGAGGGAGAAAGCGGGGGAUCUUCGGACCUCGCGCGAUUGGAGCGGCCGAUGUCGGAUUAGCUAGUAGGUGAGGUAAAGGCUCACCUAGGCGACGAUCCGUAGCGGGUCUGAGAGGAUGAUCCGCCACACUGGGACUGAGACACGGCCCAGACUCCUACGGGAGGCAGCAGUGGGGAAUUUUGGGACAAUGGGCGCAAGCCUGAUCCAGCCAUGCCGCGUGAGUGAAGAAGGCCUCGG
RNAcentral lists this ribosomal RNA (392 nucleotides) under uncultured bacterium. RNAcentral's name for it is "bacterial SSU rRNA". It matches the Rfam family "Bacterial small subunit ribosomal RNA", at positions 28 to 420 of the family's 1533-position model. The record is from RNAcentral.